GAGCACUUAGUGUGAUGUCUGGCACAGAGUUUACACCCAUUACAUGGUAACUAUUAUCUCUAUUUUCAUCUUCUUUCUUUGUGAGUGUCUGUGUGUGUGUC
Long non-coding RNA from Myotis brandtii (Brandt's bat), 101 nucleotides. RefSeq lists it as uncharacterized. NCBI's taxonomy places the organism in Eukaryota, Metazoa, Chordata, Mammalia, Chiroptera, Vespertilionidae. The record is from RefSeq and is a predicted model, not a curated record. The transcript has 4 exons.